UGUAAUGCCUUUCUACUUAGUUCUUCUGAGU
RNAcentral lists this non-coding RNA (31 nucleotides) under Mus musculus (house mouse). Lineage: Eukaryota; Metazoa; Chordata; Mammalia; Rodentia; Muridae. The record is from RNAcentral.